Molecule: ribosomal RNA, 394 nt
Filed under: uncultured bacterium
Lineage: Bacteria
Description: bacterial SSU rRNA
Rfam family: Bacterial small subunit ribosomal RNA
Source: RNAcentral
AUUGAACGCUGGCGGCAUGCCUUACACAUGCAAGUCGAACGGCGGCACGGGAGCAAUCCUGGUGGCGAGUGGCGAACGGGUGAGUAAUAUAUCGGAACGUGCCCGGUCGUGGGGGAUAACGUAGCGAAAGCUACGCUAAUACCGCAUACGAUCUACGGAUGAAAGCGGGGGAUCGCAAGACCUCGCGCGAUUGGAGCGGCCGAUAUCAGAUUAGGUAGUUGGUGAGGUAAAGGACUCACCAAGCCGACGAUCUGUAGCUGGUCUGAGAGGACGACCAGCCACACUGGGACUGAGACACGGCCCAGACUCCUACGGGAGGCAGCAGUGGGGAAUUUUGGACAAUAGGGCGCAAGCCUGAUCCAGCAAUGCCGCGUGCAGGAUGAAGGCCUCGGUU